GCGAAGCCACUCGGGCGCCCGCAGGCCCGGCCGGCCCGGCGCCUCUUGGAGCUGACGCCGCCCGCGCCAUCUUGACCGAGGGCAGCUUUCCACUAUUUCCGUUCCUUCUCCAUAAGGGGCCGCCGUCGUCAGUGAGGUUUGCUAAAGCAGAGGCGUACUACUAUCAAUAGCAUCAAGAAAUGAUGAUGGAAGAAGCAUGGAAAUACAAUAUGGUUCCAAAAUGGGAAACUAAAAUAGAGGAAGAGGAAAAGAGAUCACAACGUGAGAAAACAGAAGAUACUAAAAAAUGGGACUAUCUAGUGCCUGAGAGGGAACUGAGUCUUACAAAGAAACAUAUACCAGGCUGAACAAACCAGAGGCCUCAGAGACCACAAACACCGACUGCUCCCUCAAAGAAUUCCCAGUGAAAUACUUUCCCCUAAAAUACUAACACGGGAAAAGGAUGGAAAGCAUGAAAAUAUCCAGAAAACACACAAAACUGAAACCAGUAAGCACAAGGUGGCAUGGACAAAGGAACAGAUGAAGGGACACCAAGACCGAAUGAUCUGAGGGAGAGAACUCAAAGCAAAGACACGCUCAGAAGCGCUCCAGCCCCGUUCCAUCUUUCCUAAAAUCUCAAGUGGAAAAAGAGAAGGUGAAAGAGUUUGAAUGGGUCACAGCUUAUCCAAUUUUGCAACCUUACCAGAAAGCACUUAGGAAAGUGAUGAUUCUGAUGGAGAAAUAAGAAAAAAGAGAGUAUAAAAUUAAGAAACCACUCUGAAGGGAGCUCUUGAGUAUGCCACCAUUUUUGAGAAGUCAACUAGAAAAAAAUAAGGUUUAAAUUAUUUUAUAUUUUUUAGACUAGCAUACUUUUAAUCAUUAAUGCAAUAAAACAUAUACUCCCCUGGUUUUUUUAAGUGCAUCAAACUGGCAAAAAUUAAAAAAGCCACAAGCACAGUA
Molecule: long non-coding RNA, 939 nt
Organism: Homo sapiens (human)
Lineage: Eukaryota; Metazoa; Chordata; Mammalia; Primates; Hominidae
Gene: ATE1OSP
Product: ATE1 opposite strand, pseudogene
Source: Ensembl